Non-coding RNA from Paramisgurnus dabryanus, 933 nucleotides. The record is from RefSeq and is a predicted model, not a curated record. NCBI's taxonomy places the organism in Eukaryota, Metazoa, Chordata, Actinopteri, Cypriniformes, Cobitidae.
CCGAAGCUGGAUUUGCGCGAAGUCUCCUCUUGAAAGUUGGAUUACUGUGCACUUCUGGAUCACAGGCUGUAAGUAUUCACGUUUAUUAUUUGCCUUUUACUGUACAUUACGUAACCGGUAACCGGAGAUUAACAUAAUGUGCGUGUAGAGCUAAGCUUGCAAGCUAAUUGUUUUGUGUUGUAAUACUGUAUUUCAUAAACAACGUACCAUAUUUACACACGUGUAUGUUGAAUUAUGCAGACUAUCGUUUUUUUUAUCUAUGUUGGUUUAGACAUGUUUACAAACUUGCUAAGUUACUAAGCUAAAUACAAAUACAAAUGCCAGCUAAACUGUUACCGGUAAAAUUUGUUCUCAUGAUCAAACUCAAGAAACUCUAAGUACAGAUGAUUUGUUUAAAGUUAUAUGUAUUUUACUGUUGUAUUUACUUGAAGCUUUCUUAGAUUUUGAAACGAAGUAAACACGUAAUGUGUGUUGCUAAUGUUGGGCCAUGUAAUAUGUAAUACAUUAACGUUUUAAUGAAUAGUCUAACGAGUUAUAGUCGUUGUACUCUAUUGUUAUAAUAUGUCUUUUUGACUGAAUACAUGUUUGUUUUAUUUGUCUAUAUCCUAGAUUCGCAGCUGGACACAUCCUUCUACACUGUAUGCAAACAUGCAACAUCAUUACACACAGUACAAGGAGUCAGACUGGCAUAUGAGGAGCAAAGGAACCCAGGCAGUAGCAUCGUUUCACAAUGUUUCCAUCACCAUCAUCAGUGGAUGCCUUUGCUGUCCGUAGCCUGAGAUUUCAGAUUUGCAGCAAAAAAAAAAAUUAUUUUCUCAUUUAUUGGAAUGCUGUGCAGGUAUUUGUACCUUGCAGCUAUCCAUUACAAUGUCACCAAGCCGUAACAAAAGCAGGAGAGGGAAAGUACAAGGCUAUGUUCCCAAAACACACAAG